This 822-nucleotide ribosomal RNA is filed under the name Klebsiella pneumoniae. Its description in RNAcentral is "partial 23S ribosomal RNA". It matches the Rfam family "Bacterial large subunit ribosomal RNA", at positions 1 to 867 of the family's 2925-position model. RNAcentral also lists the same sequence under 1 other name. The record is from RNAcentral. Lineage: Bacteria; Pseudomonadati; Pseudomonadota; Gammaproteobacteria; Enterobacterales; Enterobacteriaceae.
GGUUAAGCGACUAAGCGUACACGGUGGAUGCCCUGGCAGUCAGAGGCGAUGAAGGACGUGCUAAUCUGCGAAAAGCGUCGGUAAGGUGAUAUGAACCGUUAUAGCCGGCGAUGUCCGAAUGGGGAAACCCAGUGCAAUUCGUUGCACUAUCGUUAACUGAAUACAUAGGUUAACGAGGCGAACCGGGGGAACUGAAACAUCUAAGUACCCCGAGGAAAAGAAAUCAACCGAGAUUCCCCCAGUAGCGGCGAGCGAACGGGGAGCAGCCCAGAGUCUGAAUCAGCUUGUGUGUUAGUGGAACGGUCUGGAAAGUCCGACGGUACAGGGUGAUAGUCCCGUACACCAAAAUGCACAGGCUGUGAACUCGAAGAGUAGGGCGGGACACGUGGUAUCCUGUCUGAAUAUGGGGGGACCAUCCUCCAAGGCUAAAUACUCCUGACUGACCGAUAGUGAACCAGUACCGUGAGGGAAAGGCGAAAAGAACCCCGGCGAGGGGAGUGAAAAAGAACCUGAAACCGUGUACGUACAAGCAGUGGGAGCACCUUCGGGUGUGACUGCGUACCUUUUGUAUAAUGGGUCAGCGACUUAUAUUCUGUAGCAAGGUUAACCGUAUAGGGGAGCCGCAGGGAAACCGAGUCUUAACUGGGCGUUAAGUUGCAGGGUAUAGACCCGAAACCCGGUGAUCUAGCCAUGGGCAGGUUGAAGGUUGGGUAACACUAACUGGAGGACCGAACCGACUAAUGUUGAAAAAUUAGCGGAUGACUUGUGGCUGGGGGUGAAAGGCCAAUCAAACCGGGAGAUAGCUGGUUCUCCCCGAAAGCU